UGGCUACUGGGACCCCAAUUAUGCCCAGAACCAAUGGGGUUACACCUUACAGGAGCAGGCAAAUGAAUACUGGACUGAUUUGAGAACAAAUGCACAGUAUUACAUGGACAUGGGAAACCUGGUGUUUGACCGUUCUCUGGCUGAUGAGACCAAUAGGCUCUACAUGGACAUGCUGAGGGAUGUAAGAGCACAGCUGGAUGCAC
Sinocyclocheilus grahami is the source of this 203-nucleotide long non-coding RNA. RefSeq lists it as uncharacterized. Lineage: Eukaryota; Metazoa; Chordata; Actinopteri; Cypriniformes; Cyprinidae. The record is from RefSeq and is a predicted model, not a curated record. The annotation marks the transcript as partial. The transcript has 3 exons.